CCUACGGGAGGCAGCAGUGAGGAAUAUUGGUCAAUGGACGAGAGUCUGAACCAGCCAAGUAGCGUGAAGGAUGACUGCCCUAUGGGUUGUAAACUUCUUUUAUAUGGGAAUAAAACGUUCCACGUGUGGGAUUUUGUAUGUACCAUAUGAAUAAGGAUCGGCUAACUCCGUGCCAGCAGCCGCUGUAAUACGGAGGAUCCGAGCGUUAUCCGGAUUUAUUGGGUUUAAAGGGAGCGUAGGUGGAUUGUUAAGUCAGUUGUGAAAGUUUGCGGCUCAACCGUAAAAUUGCAGUUGAAACUGGCAGUCUUGAGUACAGUAGAGGUGGGCGGAAUUCGUGGUGUAGCGGUGAAAUGCUUAGAUAUCACGAAGAACUCCGAUUGCGAAGGCAGUUCACUGGACUGCAACUGACACUGAGGCUCGAAAGUGUGGGUAUCAAACAGGAUUAGAUACCCCUGUAGUC
Molecule: ribosomal RNA, 460 nt
Filed under: uncultured bacterium
Lineage: Bacteria
Description: partial 16S ribosomal RNA
Rfam family: Bacterial small subunit ribosomal RNA
Source: RNAcentral